GAUCAUUACUGAGUUUACGCUCUAUAACCCUUUGUGAACAUACCUAUAACUGUUGCUUCGGCGGGUAGGGUCUCCGCGACCCUCCCGGCCUCCCGCCUCCGGGCGGGUCGGCGCCCGCCGGAGGAUAACCAAACUCUGAUUUAACGACGUUUCUUCUGAGUGGUACAAGCAAAUAAUCAAAACUUUUAACAACGGAUCUCUUGGUUCUGGCAUCGAUGAAGAACGCAGCGAAAUGCGAUAAGUAAUGUGAAUUGCAGAAUUCAGUGAAUCAUCGAAUCUUUGAACGCACAUUGCGCCCGCCAGCAUUCUGGCGGGCAUGCCUGUUCGAGCGUCAUUUCAACCCUCAAGCUCUGCUUGGUGUUGGGGCCCUACAGCUGAUGUAGGCCCUCAAAGGUAGUGGCGGACCCUCCCGGAGCCUCCUUUGCGUAGUAACUUUACGUCUCGCACUGGGAUCCGGAGGGACUCUUGCCGUAAAACCCCCCAAUUUUCCAAAGGUUGACCUCGGAUCAGGUAGGAAUACCCGCUGAACUUAAGCAUAUCAAUAAGCGGAGGAAAAGAAACCAACAGGGAUUGCCUCAGUAACGGCGAGUGAAGCGGCAACAGCUCAAAUUUGAAAUCUGGCCCUAGGCCCGAGUUGUAAUUUGCAGAGGAUGCUUUUGGUGCGGUGCCUUCCAAGUUCCCUAGAACGGGACGCCAGAGAGGGUGAGAGCCCCGUACAGUUGGACACCAAGCCUUUGUAAAGCUCCUUCGACGAGUCGAGUAGUUUGGGAAUGCUGCUCAAAAUGGGAGGUAUAUUUCUUCUAAAGCUAAAUACCGGCCAGAGACCGAUAGCGCACAAGUAGAGUGAUCGAAAGAUGAAAAGCACUUUGAAAAGAGGGUUAAACAGCACGUGAAAUUGUUAAAAGGGAAGCGCUUGUGACCAGACUUGCGUCCGGUGAAUCACCCAGCUCUCGCGGCUGGGGCACUUCGCCGGCUCAGGCCAGCAUCAGCUCGCUGUCGGGGACAAAAGCUUCAGGAACGUAGCUCUCUUCGGGGAGUGUUAUAGCCUGUUGCACAAUACCCUUCGGCGGGCUGA
Molecule: unclassified non-coding RNA, 1075 nt
Filed under: leaf metagenome
Description: partial contains internal transcribed spacer 1, 5.8S ribosomal RNA, internal transcribed spacer 2, and large subunit ribosomal RNA
Rfam family: Eukaryotic large subunit ribosomal RNA (bases 497-1075)
Source: RNAcentral